Molecule: long non-coding RNA, 862 nt
Filed under: Elaeis guineensis (African oil palm)
Lineage: Eukaryota; Viridiplantae; Streptophyta; Magnoliopsida; Arecales; Arecaceae
Description: long non-coding RNA (EGUI_LNC075344)
Source: RNAcentral
GAGAGAUAUGAUGGAGUCCUUGUCUAGGUCAAAUACCUAGUCAAGGCUUAUCCAAACAUGGCAAGUUAAGGGGCGCCCAACUCUUGAGCACCUCCUCCUUAAUUUUGUGCAUGGAAUAUCAUAAAAUGGUGCACAAUAUGUAUCCUAAAAGCCACAAAAAUUCCAAAAAAUAUUUAGAUAAAUUUGGUGCAAAAUUGAAAGAGUUUUGGAUUUCUAAAACUCUAUCUCAUAGAAUUCGAAAUCCAAACUUAUUCCUUUUUGAUUUGAUCCAAACCACCUUCCAUGUAAGAAAGAAGAGAGGAGACCUUUUGUGAAUGUGGGAGAGACCUGGGAGAGGACUUUUGUCGCACAAAAUAAGAGGAGAUUGGCGUUGAAUGAGAGAGAGGGCGUGGGGAAGGCUUAUGUGGUGCAACGUGGAAUCCUAGUCUUACUAGGAUUCUAUCUUAUGACUUGUUUUAAUUUGGUUUCCCAAACCAAAUCAAAUCAAAAUUAGAUCAACCUAAUUAAAAUAGGUCUUAAUCUAAUUAAGAACCUAAUUUAAUCAGAUUAAAUUAGAUUUAAAUCUGAUUUAAUUUUCUAAUCAAAUUAGAAAUUAGAUUGACUCAAGUCCUAGUUGAACUAGGACUAGUUUUUUCUUGCACUUGGCUUAUCCAAUAAAUCAAUUGGACUUGAUCCAAUCAAGUACAAACUAAAUCUAAUUAAAUUAUAUUUAAUUAGACUUAAUCUUAGCCCAUUGGCUUAAUCAAAUUAAGCCAAUUAGUAAUUGAAUUGCUAAUCGAUCCUCCUGCAACACUUGCACUGGGUUAAAUGUUAAUCGUAUUGAUCAUUUAACCCUAGAACGAUUCUUAAUCGUUGAUCAACC